GCCAGGCGUGGUGGCGCAUACCUGUUAUCCCAACUACUCAGGAGGUUGAGGCAGGAGGAUCGCAUGUUCAAAGCAGGCCUGGGAAAUUUAUUGAGACCCUGCCUCAA
RNAcentral lists this small RNA (107 nucleotides) under Marmota monax (woodchuck). Lineage: Eukaryota; Metazoa; Chordata; Mammalia; Rodentia; Sciuridae. The record is from RNAcentral.